This 537-nucleotide ribosomal RNA is filed under the name uncultured bacterium. Its description in RNAcentral is "bacterial SSU rRNA". It matches the Rfam family "Bacterial small subunit ribosomal RNA", at positions 102 to 674 of the family's 1533-position model. The record is from RNAcentral.
ACGGGUGAGUAACACGUGGGAACCUUCCCUAUAGUGCGGAAUAGCCCAGGGAAACUUGGAGUAAUACCGCAUACGCCCGAGAGGGGAAAGAUUUAUCGCUAUAGGAUGGGCCCGCGUAGGAUUAGCUAGUUGGUGAGGUAACGGCUCACCAAGGCGACGAUCCUUAGCUGGUUUGAGAGAACGACCAGCCACACUGGGACUGAGACACGGCCCAGACUCCUACGGGAGGCAGCAGUGGGGAAUAUUGGACAAUGGGCGCAAGCCUGAUCCAGCCAUGCCGCGUGAGUGAUGAAGGCCUUAGGGUUGUAAAGCUCUUUUGCCGGGGACGAUAAUGACGGUACCCGGAGAAUAAGUCCCGGCUAACUUCGUGCCAGCAGCCGCGGUAAUACGAAGGGGACUAGCGUUGUUCGGAAUCACUGGGCGUAAAGCGCACGUAGGCGGAUUUGUAAGUCAGGGGUGAAAUCCCGGGGCUCAACCUCGGAACUGCCUUUGAUACUGCGAGUCUUGAGUCCGAUAGAGGUGGGUGGAAUUCCUAGU